AGUGAACGCUGGCGGCAGGCCUAAUACAUGCAAGUCGAACGGCAGCACAGCAGAGCUUGCUCUGUGGGUGGCGAGUGGCGGACGGGUGAGGAAUACGUGGGAAUCUGCCCAGUCGUGGGGGAUAACGUAGGGAAACUUACGCUAAUACCGCAUGCGCCCUUCGGGGAAAGCCGGGGACCUUCGGGCCUGGCGCGAUUGGAUGAGCCCACGUCGGAUUAGCUAGUUGGCGGGGUAAAGGCCCACCAAGGCGACGAUCCGUAGCUGGUCUGAGAGGAUGAUCAGCCACACUGGAACUGAGACACGGUCCAGACUCCUACGGAAGGCAGCAGUAGGGAAUAUUGGACAAUGGGCGCAAGCCUGAUCCAGCCAUGCCGCGUGAGUGAAGAAGGCCCUCGGGUUGUAAAGCUCUUUGUCCGGAAAGAAAGCGCCGGGUUAAUACCCUGGUGUCCUGACGGUACCGGAAGAAUAAGCACCGGCUAACUUCGUGCCAGCAGCCGCGGUAAU
This 504-nucleotide ribosomal RNA is filed under the name uncultured bacterium. RNAcentral describes it as "bacterial SSU rRNA". It matches the Rfam family "Bacterial small subunit ribosomal RNA", at positions 29 to 524 of the family's 1533-position model. The record is from RNAcentral.